UGGGGAAUUUUGGACAAUGGGCGAAAGCCUGAUCCAGCAAUGCCGCGUGUGUGAAGAAGGCCUUCGGGUUGUAAAGCACUUUUGUCCGGAAAGAAAUCCUUGGCUCUAAUACAGUCGGGGGAUGACGGUACCGGAAGAAUAAGCACCGGCUAACUACGUGCCAGCAGCCGCGGUAAUACGUAGGGUGCAAGCGUUAAUCGGAAUUACUGGGCGUAAAACGUGCGCAGGCGGUUUGCUAAGACCGAUGUGAAAAUCCCCGGGCUCAACCUGGGAACUGCAAUUGGUGACUGGCAGGCUAGAGUAUGGCAGAGGGGGGUAGAAUUCCACGUGUAGCAGUGAAAUGCGUAGAGAUGUGGAGGAAUACCGAUGGCGAAGGCAGCCCCC
Molecule: ribosomal RNA, 384 nt
Filed under: uncultured bacterium
Lineage: Bacteria
Description: partial 16S ribosomal RNA
Rfam family: Bacterial small subunit ribosomal RNA
Source: RNAcentral